AUUCAAAUCCAACUUUUAUUCAAAACUUCACGUGUAAAGGUACAAGUUUUGAGUUUUUGAACUUGAGCCCUAAAGCAAUGUUGUAGAGUUUGAAAAACUCUCCAACUUUCAUUUUGGGCAUUUCUUCAUUAGGGUUUUAGAUUGAUAGGAAAUUUUGCUUUACAGACAAGUCCCUGCAAUUUUCUGAAAUUGAGCAUAAGUCCUUGGGAAGUUCUAAUUCCCUUUCUUCUCUGUUCUUCUUCUUUCUCUGCCUUAUCCCUUCCCUG
This 266-nucleotide long non-coding RNA is filed under the name Panicum hallii. RNAcentral's name for it is "long non-coding RNA (PHAL_LNC000797)". The record is from RNAcentral. Lineage: Eukaryota; Viridiplantae; Streptophyta; Magnoliopsida; Poales; Poaceae.